Long non-coding RNA from Herpailurus yagouaroundi (jaguarundi), 743 nucleotides. RefSeq lists it as uncharacterized. Lineage: Eukaryota; Metazoa; Chordata; Mammalia; Carnivora; Felidae. The transcript has 3 exons. The record is from RefSeq and is a predicted model, not a curated record.
UUAAGGCAAAGGGGAGGAGCCCAGAGGAGGUUAAAAUCUCCCAUGUCACCCUUGGUAUCACUUCCCUCUGUCCAGACUUCAUACCUUCUUCUCUAGAACUCUCUUCCAUCCUUGUGGUCACUGACCAACUCAGGAGAUACUGCUGAAAAGACAGGAGGCAACGAGGUCCAGAGACCGGACCGGUGGUCAGCUCAGGGACCCUUCCAACCACACUUCCCUCAAUCCCUGAAACACCUCAAGCAGCCAGCCCUUGGGCGAAGGGAUCCUAAAUCCUCCACUGCUCUGGAACUGUGUGGAGGGCGGCUUUCCCUUAUUGGGGCAGGGAUGAUGCGGUGACUAACCAGACCUACAGCUCUGAAUGAGGGCUCUGAGAAGGCUCAGGCCACUCACUGCAUCCGUGGCCCUACAAGGAGAUGGUUCCAUCGAAGACAGCACAGAAAACUUUGGAGAUUCUCCCUUGCUUUGUUCCCCCCCAUCCCCCCACCCCCCACCCCCAACACGCUGUGGAACAGGCGAAGUUGGGAGAGAAGUAGCCCUCGGUGAGGCACUCAUUCAUUCACCGGGUGGAUGGCUGCGGAGCGCGGGCCAGCCGGGCCAGGCGGCCGCCAGAAGGAAGGAAGAGUCGCCAGCAGAUCCCAGGCUCUGGCCGUGGAGUCCCGCAACUGCUCGCUGAUGGACCGCCUGAGCUGCGUUGGGAAGGGCUUCCGUUUGCUGGUCAUUUUAGAUCCGUCCUCAUAACGACC